RNAcentral lists this ribosomal RNA (1455 nucleotides) under Microbacterium sp. RNAcentral's name for it is "bacterial SSU rRNA". It matches the Rfam family "Bacterial small subunit ribosomal RNA". The record is from RNAcentral. Lineage: Bacteria; Bacillati; Actinomycetota; Actinomycetes; Micrococcales; Microbacteriaceae.
CUCAGGAUGAACGCUGGCGGCGUGCUUAACACAUGCAAGUCGAACGAUGAAGCAGAGCUUGCUCCGUGGAUCAGUGGCGAACGGGUGAGUAACACGUGAGCAAUCUGCCCCUGACUCUGGGAUAAGCGCUGGAAACGGCGUCUAAUACUGGAUACGAGCCGUGACGGCAUGUUCAACGGUUGGAAAGAUUUUUCGGUCAGGGAUGAGCUCGCGGCCUAUCAGCUUGUUGGUGAGGUAAUGGCUCACCAAGGCGUCGACGGGUAGCCGGCCUGAGAGGGUGACCGGCCACACUGGGACUGAGACACGGCCCAGACUCCUACGGGAGGCAGCAGUGGGGAAUAUUGCACAAUGGGCGCAAGCCUGAUGCAGCAACGCCGCGUGAGGGAUGACGGCCUUCGGGUUGUAAACCUCUUUUAGCAGGGAAGAAGCGAAAGUGACGGUACCUGCAGAAAAAGCGCCGGCUAACUACGUGCCAGCAGCCGCGGUAAUACGUAGGGCGCAAGCGUUAUCCGGAAUUAUUGGGCGUAAAGAGCUCGUAGGCGGUUUGUCGCGUCUGCUGUGAAAUCCCGAGGCUCAACCUCGGGUCUGCAGUGGGUACGGGCAGACUAGAGUGCGGUAGGGGAGAUUGGAAUUCCUGGUGUAGCGGUGGAAUGCGCAGAUAUCAGGAGGAACACCGAUGGCGAAGGCAGAUCUCUGGGCCGUAACUGACGCUGAGGAGCGAAAGGGUGGGGAGCAAACAGGCUUAGAUACCCUGGUAGUCCACCCCGUAAACGUUGGGAACUAGUUGUGGGGUCCAUUCCACGGAUUCCGUGACGCAGCUAACGCAUUAAGUUCCCCGCCUGGGGAGUACGGCCGCAAGGCUAAAACUCAAAGGAAUUGACGGGGACCCGCACAAGCGGCGGAGCAUGCGGAUUAAUUCGAUGCAACGCGAAGAACCUUACCAAGGCUUGACAUACACGAGAACGCUGCAGAAAUGUGGAACUCUUUGGACACUCGUGAACAGGUGGUGCAUGGUUGUCGUCAGCUCGUGUCGUGAGAUGUUGGGUUAAGUCCCGCAACGAGCGCAACCCUCGUUCUAUGUUGCCAGCACGUAAUGGUGGGAACUCAUGGGAUACUGCCGGGGUCAACUCGGAGGAAGGUGGGGAUGACGUCAAAUCAUCAUGCCCCUUAUGUCUUGGGCUUCACGCAUGCUACAAUGGCCGGUACAAAGGGCUGCGAUACCGUAAGGUGGAGCGAAUCCCAAAAAGCCGGUCCCAGUUCGGAUUGAGGUCUGCAACUCGACCUCAUGAAGUCGGAGUCGCUAGUAAUCGCAGAUCAGCAACGCUGCGGUGAAUACGUUCCCGGGUCUUGUACACACCGCCCGUCAAGUCAUGAAAGUCGGUAACACCUGAAGCCGGUGGCCCAACCCUUGUGGAGGGAGCCGUCGAAGGUGGGAUCGGUAAUUAGGACUAAGUC